This 253-nucleotide ribosomal RNA is filed under the name uncultured bacterium. RNAcentral's name for it is "partial 16S ribosomal RNA". It matches the Rfam family "Bacterial small subunit ribosomal RNA", at positions 524 to 776 of the family's 1533-position model. The record is from RNAcentral.
UACAGAGGUCCCAAGCGUUGUUCGGAUUCAUUGGGCGUAAAGCGUGCGUAGGCGGCUGCGCAAGUCGGGUGUGAAACCCCGGGGCUCAACCCCGGAACUGCAUCCGAUACUGCGUGGCUAGAGGUAGGUAGGGGAGAUCGGAAUUCCUGGUGUAGCGGUGAAAUGCGCAGAUAUCAGGAGGAACACCGGUGGCGAAGGCGGGUCUCUGGGCAGUAACUGACGCUGAGGAGCGAAAGCGUGGGGAGCGAACAGG